Molecule: ribosomal RNA, 258 nt
Filed under: uncultured bacterium
Lineage: Bacteria
Description: partial 16S ribosomal RNA
Rfam family: Bacterial small subunit ribosomal RNA
Source: RNAcentral
UACGUAGGGCGCGAGCGUUGUCCGGAAUUAUUGGGCGUAAAGAGCUCGUAGGCGGCCUGUCGCGUCCGCUGUGAAAUCCCGGGGCUUAACCCCGGGCCUGCAGUGGAUACGGGCAGGCUGGAGGCAGGCAGGGAGGAACGGAAUUCCCGGAUCGUGAGCGGUGGAAAUGACGCAGAUAUCAGGAGGAACACCAAUGGCGAAGGCAGGCUCGUGGGACGGUACUGACGCUGAGACGACGAAGCGUGGGGAGCAAACAGG